This 512-nucleotide ribosomal RNA is filed under the name uncultured bacterium. Its description in RNAcentral is "partial 16S ribosomal RNA". It matches the Rfam family "Bacterial small subunit ribosomal RNA", at positions 28 to 523 of the family's 1533-position model. The record is from RNAcentral.
GACGAACGCUGGCGGCAUGCCUAAUACAUGCAAGUCGAGCGAACAGAUGAAGUGCUUGCACUUCUGACGUAGCGGCGAACGGGUGAGUAACACGUAAGGAAUCUACCUAUAAGCGGGGGAUAACAUUCGGAAACGGGUGCUAAUACCGCAUAAUAUCUUCUUCCGCAUGGAAGGAGAUUGAAAGACGGCUCUGCUGUCACUUAUAGAUGAACUCGCGGUGCAUUAGUUAGUUGGUGGGGUAACGGCCUACCAAGACGAUGAUGCAUAGCCGACCUGAGAGGGUGAUCGGCCACAUUGGGACUGAGACACGGCCCAAACUCCUACGGGAGGCAGCAGUAGGGAAUCUUCCGCAAUGGGCGAAAGCCUGACGGAGCAAUGCCGCGUGAGUGAAGAAGGCCUUCGGGUCGUAAAACUCUGUUAUAAGAGAAGAACAAAUUGUAGAGUAACUGCUACAGUCUUGACGGUAUCUUAUCAGAAAGCCACGGCUAACUACGUGCCAGCCGCCGCAGUAA